UGUCGGAUUAAUGAUAAUUUGGCGUUGUUAUAAUAUAUAGAAAUGGUAUCUUAAACGAAAAUAAAUAAGAUUUAUCCUAAAGAAAAUUGAAACACAAUAUACGUAGCAUACGGUCACGAACGAGAAUAUUGGCACACUGUUAAAGGGUGAAUAACUUUUUUUAAAUUGGAUUAAACGAUUUGAGCCUUUUUGAGAAGUGAGGAGGAUUAGUUUAUCAGAUGAUGUGGAAAAAGAUCUUUGAAAAAAUUGCAGUUGAUCGGAAUCGCAAAGGAAAUAGUGAAGGCUGUAUGGAGGAGUUCAACAGCUGCGAUGAUGGAAAUUUGGAGAAUGGGAAUGUAAGUUUGGAGGAGAUUACAAAAGACAUAUUUAAGACAUAUUUAACGUCAUGGUGAAGAGUAUAAUGAAAUAUGGGGGACAGAAGAAAAAAGAGAAAUAGAAGCAGUACAAGAAAGGUAUCUAAGAGCAGUAUUAGUGACUGGAGAGGUGCACACCUACAGUAGGAUAUUUAGACAAGAAACGAAGACGGAGAAAAUACUUCUGGGGUCAGGAGAAAGGUACAUAAAAUAUGGAGAUAUGAAGAAGAGAUUAGAAGAUCAGAAAACUCACUACUUGAGGAGUGCAGAAGGGUCAUUGAUAGGGAAAAAUGAAAUAACAUGAGCCAUAGAAUAGCAAGAGAGAGAUUUAAAGGAAAAUAGGAACGAGCAGAUGGGAAAUGGAAAACAGAAAUAAUCUUUCGUUUAUUACAUAUACAUUAUUACAAGAUUUAGACGUUUCUCCAACUGCAAUCAAUUACCAAACUUAAUGGGACAAGUAAUCCGUCCAGUUUAUUAAUUUCAGCAUUUGCCGCAGCGAGCGUUGCACAAUUUGAUAAGUAGAAGAUAAGAAACGUCAAAGA
Molecule: unclassified non-coding RNA, 895 nt
Filed under: Bombus terrestris (buff-tailed bumblebee)
Lineage: Eukaryota; Metazoa; Arthropoda; Insecta; Hymenoptera; Apidae
Description: misc RNA ENSBTSG00005030737.1
Source: RNAcentral